CCGUUUGAAAAGUGCAACUUAA
Molecule: non-coding RNA, 22 nt
Filed under: Rattus norvegicus (Norway rat)
Lineage: Eukaryota; Metazoa; Chordata; Mammalia; Rodentia; Muridae
Source: RNAcentral